This 420-nucleotide long non-coding RNA is filed under the name Apteryx rowi (Okarito brown kiwi). Its description in RNAcentral is "lncRNA (ENSARWG00000007292.1)". The record is from RNAcentral. Lineage: Eukaryota; Metazoa; Chordata; Aves; Apterygiformes; Apterygidae.
CCAGAAUAAACCAGACUUGCCUCCUUGGAUCUGCAUAGCACAACAGUCCAGAGAUCUUAAACAUGAAGAGUUUCUCCUGAGAACUCAGGGUCACAGUCAAGGAGAGAGAGAGAAGGCCUGUGAAUUCACUGGGAUCGUCUGAAAGCAGCAUUGGUCCUGUCCCGCUGGAAGCCUUGGUCUACAGCUGUCCCAUACAUGACCUUCACUGAACACCCAGCCAAGAAUUGCAGUGAAAGGUUCAGCACUGCCUGCCAGAGUUUUUCCUGUCGCUCAGAGUCCCCUUGCUGGAAACAAGCAGCCGAUUUAAAAAGAUAUUGGAAGAACAGCUUGGACACAGAAAGGAAUGACCUCGAGCCUUAAAAAACAGACGAGCUUUUCAGUGGCUUGAAUCUUGGAACAAGAAGCUAAAAGUCAUACAAG